RNAcentral lists this ribosomal RNA (582 nucleotides) under uncultured bacterium. RNAcentral's name for it is "bacterial SSU rRNA". It matches the Rfam family "Bacterial small subunit ribosomal RNA", at positions 202 to 804 of the family's 1533-position model. The record is from RNAcentral.
AAAAACUCCGGUAGUAUAAGAUGAGCCCGCGUCUGAUUAGCUGGUUGGUGGGGUAACGGCCUACCAAGGCGACGAUCAGUAGCCGGCCUGAGAGGGUGAACGGCCACAUUGGGACUGAGACACGGCCCAAACUCCUACGGGAGGCAGCAGUGGGGAAUAUUGCACAAUGGGGGAAACCCUGAUGCAGCGACGCCGCGUGAGUGAAGAAGUAUUUCGGUAUGUAAAGCUCUAUCAGCAGGGAAGAAAAUGACGGUACCUGACUAAGAAGCCCCGGCUAACUACGUGCCAGCAGCCGCGGUAAUACGUAGGGGGCAAGCGUUAUCCGGAUUUACUGGGUGUAAAGGGAGCGUAGACGGCGCGGCAAGUCUGAAGUGAAAGGCAGGGGCUUAACCCCUGAACUGCUUUGGAAACUGCCAUGCUAGAGUGCUGGAGAGGUAAGUGGAAUUCCUAGUGUAGCGGUGAAAUGCGUAGAUAUUAGGAGGAACACCAGUGGCGAAGGCGGCUUACUGGACAGUAACUGACGUUGAGGCUCGAAAGCGUGGGGAGCAAACAGGAUUAGAUACCCUGGUAGUCCACGCCGUA